CUACGGGGUGCUGCAGUGGGGAAUAUUGGACAAUGGGGGAAACCCUGAUCCAGCAAUGCCGCGUGUGUGAAGAAGGCCUGCGGGUUGUAAAGCACUUUCGGUUGGGAGGACUGCUUCUAGCACUAAUAUUGUUGGAAGUUGACGUUACCUUCAGAAGAAGCACCGGCUGAACUCCGUGCCAGCAGCCGCGGUAAUACGGAGGGUGCAAGCGUUAAUCGGAAUUACUGGGCGUAAAGCGCGCGUAGGCGGCUAGAUCAGUCGGGUGUGAAAGCCCCGGGCUUAACCUGGGAACUGCAUCCGAUACUGUCUAGCUUGAGUACAGGAGAGGAGAGUGGAAUUCCACGUGUAGCGGUGAAAUGCGUAGAUAUGUGGAGGAACACCAAUGGCGAAGGCAGCUCUCUGGCCUGAUACUGACGCUGAGGUGCGAAAGCGCGGGGAGCAAACAGGAUUAGAUACCCCGGUAGUC
This 466-nucleotide ribosomal RNA is filed under the name uncultured bacterium. Its description in RNAcentral is "partial 16S ribosomal RNA". It matches the Rfam family "Bacterial small subunit ribosomal RNA", at positions 339 to 795 of the family's 1533-position model. The record is from RNAcentral.